Molecule: ribosomal RNA, 455 nt
Filed under: Bacillus sp. GPB9
Lineage: Bacteria; Bacillati; Bacillota; Bacilli; Caryophanales; Bacillaceae
Description: bacterial SSU rRNA
Rfam family: Bacterial small subunit ribosomal RNA
Source: RNAcentral
GCUGGCGGCGUGCCUAAUACAUGCAAGUCGAGCGGACAGAUGGGAGCUUGCUCCCUGAUGUUAGCGGCGGACGGGUGAGUAACACGUGGGUAACCUGCCUGUAAGACUGGGAUAACUCCGGGAAACCGGGGCUAAUACCGGAUGCUUGUUUGAACCGCAUGGUUCAAACAUAAAAGGUGGCUUCGGCUACCACUUACAGAUGGACCCGCGGCGCAUUAGCUAGUUGGUGAGGUAAUGGCUCACCAAGGCGACGAUGCGUAGCCGACCUGAGAGGGUGAUCGGCCACACUGGGACUGAGACACGGCCCAGACUCCUACGGGAGGCAGCAGUAGGGAAUCUUCCGCAAUGGACGAAAGUCUGACGGAGCAACGCCGCGUGAGUGAUGAAGGUUUUCGGAUCGUAAAGCUCUGUUGUUAGGGAAGAACAAGUACCGUUCGAAUAGGGCGGUACCUUGA